CCUCAGACCGGCCUUUAACUGUUCUUCGUACACCAUGACCAUGUCAUCCUCUUCAAAAGAGUGAUCGACACGAAGAUCGCCAUGGCACUUGAUCAGCUCAUAUGAAUCAGGACAAAUAUUGUAUUCUUGAACAAACGAUUGCAGAUCGGAUUCCCGAAGAACCGAUGGAAGCUCGUCUAUAGGAAGGGUCUCUCUCCUUGAAGGUGGUGCAAGCCUUGAUGGUAUGACCCGCCCCCGACCUGGAGCAGAGACCCUAGGGGGUUUAGGUUGCACGCUGGGCCCGACUGCCUCUUCUUCGUCAGACGAUGACCAUGAGAACUGAAUGGAAGGAGGGCUCGCCGCUCUCUGACCUUCGGCACCGCUCAUUUUCAAGAAAAAGCAAAGAACUUAAACUAAAAAGAGGAUUAAAGCCCUUACCGGAGUCUGAUCGAUGUCGGAGGAACUUGAGAAAAUGAGAGGAUUUCGGGGUUGUUCGCGAGAGACUGAAA
RNAcentral lists this unclassified non-coding RNA (488 nucleotides) under Hevea brasiliensis (rubber tree). The record is from RNAcentral. Lineage: Eukaryota; Viridiplantae; Streptophyta; Magnoliopsida; Malpighiales; Euphorbiaceae.